RNAcentral lists this ribosomal RNA (395 nucleotides) under uncultured bacterium. RNAcentral describes it as "bacterial SSU rRNA". It matches the Rfam family "Bacterial small subunit ribosomal RNA", at positions 30 to 428 of the family's 1533-position model. The record is from RNAcentral.
AUUGAACGCUGGCGGCAUACCUUACACAUGCAAGUCGAACGGUAACGGGCCUUCGGGUGCCGACGAGUGGCGAACGGGGUGAGUAAUGUAUCGGAACGUACCUUUCAGUGGGGGAUAACGUAGCGAAAGUUACGCUAAUACCGCAUAUUCUGUGAGCAGGAAAGCAGGGGAUCGCAAGACCUUGCGCUGAUUGAGCGGCCGAUAUCAGAUUAGCUAGUUGGUGAGGUAAAGGCUCACCAAGGCGACGAUCUGUAGCGGGUCUGAGAGGAUGAUCCGCCACACUGGAACUGAGACACGGUCCAGACUCCUACGGGAGGCAGCAGUGGGGAAUUUUGGACAAUGGGGGCAACCCUGAUCCAGCCAUGCCGCGUGAGUGAAGAAGGCCUCGGUUGUAA